Molecule: ribosomal RNA, 483 nt
Filed under: uncultured bacterium
Lineage: Bacteria
Description: partial 16S ribosomal RNA
Rfam family: Bacterial small subunit ribosomal RNA
Source: RNAcentral
GACGAACGCUCGCGGCGUGCUUAACACAUGCAAGUCGAACGAUGAUGCCCAGCUUGCUGGGUGGAAUAGUGGCGAACGGGUGAGUAACACGUGAGUAACCUGCCCCUGACUCUGGGAGAAGCGCUGGAAACGACGUCUAAUACUGGAUAUGACUACCGGCCGCAUGGUCUGGUGGUGGAAAGAUUUUGUGGUUGGGGAGGGACUCGCGGCCUAUCAGCGUGUUGGUGAGGUAAUGGCUCCCCAAGGCGACGACGGGUAGCCGGCCUGAGAGGGUGACCGGGCACACUGGGACUGAGACACGGCCCAGACUCCUACGGGAGGCAGCAGUGGGGAAUAUUGCACAAUGGGCGAAAGCCUGAUGCAGCAACGCCGCGUGAGGGAUGACGGCCUUCGGGUUGUAAACCUCUUUUAGUAGGGAAGAAGCGAGAGUGACGGUACCUGCAGAAAAAGCACCGGCUAACUACGUGCCAGCCGCCGCAGUAA